RNAcentral lists this long non-coding RNA (513 nucleotides) under Homo sapiens (human). RNAcentral describes it as "HSALNT0188189". The record is from RNAcentral. Lineage: Eukaryota; Metazoa; Chordata; Mammalia; Primates; Hominidae.
AAAUACUUUUAGUUCACAUUUUUUAAUGUUUAAAAACUAUGUUAACAGAGCAGUUAUAGAACAGAACUUCUUAUAUUUCUUUAUUUACACCACACUCUGAAAAAAAAAACCCAGUUCUAUUUGAUUAACUAUGAAUAGCAAAGUUUUGUGACUUGUGACUCACUUAAAUCACCCAUCUGAAAUUCAUUUACAAGGUUUUUACAUUAAUAAAACAGUAGUGUGGUACAUGUAUUGGACUCAGAUGAAGUCUAAAGUACACUGGACUCUAGAGAGUGGAUUACAUACCAACGACCAAGAUUCAAGUGUUUGGGGAAAAAAAUACCUUAGACAGUCUAUGUUGGCGUCAACACUAAAAUAAAAGGCAAACAUGCAGGACUUUCAAAGCUUGAUUAGAUAAUGGUUCUUUGUUUUCUUUCCUUCAAAUUUGUGCUCAUAAUUAAUAUUCAGGUUCCCUCUCCCCUCUUUUAAAGACUUCCCUAAAAUACUCAAUAUAAAACAGGAGUUACUUAUCCU